This 452-nucleotide ribosomal RNA is filed under the name Vibrio harveyi. RNAcentral's name for it is "bacterial SSU rRNA". It matches the Rfam family "Bacterial small subunit ribosomal RNA", at positions 309 to 754 of the family's 1533-position model. Lineage: Bacteria; Pseudomonadati; Pseudomonadota; Gammaproteobacteria; Vibrionales; Vibrionaceae. The record is from RNAcentral. RNAcentral also lists the same sequence under 1 other name.
CACACUGGACUGAGACACGGUCCAGACUCCUACGGGAGGCAGCAGUGGGGAAUAUUGCACAAUGGGCGCAAGCCUGAUGCAGCCAUGCCGCGUGUGUGAAGAAGGCCUUCGGGUUGUAAAGCACUUUCAGUCGUGAGGAAGGUAGUGUAGUUAAUAGCUGCAUUAUUUGACGUUAGCGACAGAAGAAGCACCGGCUAACUCCGUGCCAGCAGCCGCGGUAAUACGGAGGGUGCGAGCGUUAAUCGGAAUUACUGGGCGUAAAGCGCAUGCAGGUGGUUUGUUAAGUCAGAUGUGAAAGCCCGGGGCUCAACCUCGGAAUAGCAUUUGAAACUGGCAGACUAGAGUACUGUAGAGGGGGGUAGAAUUUCAGGUGUAGCGGUGAAAUGCGUAGAGAUCUGAAGGAAUACCGGUGGCGAAGGCGGCCCCCUGGACAGAUACUGACACUCAGAUGC